Non-coding RNA from Schistosoma curassoni, 45 nucleotides. Lineage: Eukaryota; Metazoa; Platyhelminthes; Trematoda; Strigeidida; Schistosomatidae. The record is from Rfam.
AUUCAAAUGAUGACUCCCAAAUAGGACGAAACACGCGUCCUGGAU